GUGGAAGCCUUGUGAGGGGUGGAGCUGACCGGUACUAAUAGGCCGAGGGCUUGUCCA
This 57-nucleotide ribosomal RNA is filed under the name Murinocardiopsis flavida. RNAcentral's name for it is "partial 23S ribosomal RNA". Lineage: Bacteria; Bacillati; Actinomycetota; Actinomycetes; Streptosporangiales; Nocardiopsidaceae. The record is from RNAcentral.